Molecule: long non-coding RNA, 400 nt
Organism: Poecilia latipinna (sailfin molly)
Lineage: Eukaryota; Metazoa; Chordata; Actinopteri; Cyprinodontiformes; Poeciliidae
Exons: 2
Source: RefSeq, a predicted model, not a curated record
ACUCUGGGGUUUGAGUAUCCUUGUUAAACAGCGUUUUAACUAAAACUCUGAGGUUUCAGAAUCCUUGUUAAACAGCGUUUUGACUAAAAAUCUGUAUUCAAAGAAAAAAAGAAAAAAAAAAGGUUUGAGUCCUUGUCAGAUACCAGCUUGACUAAAGAAGUUAUAAGGGUUAGAGUCCCAGUUGACAGAGUUUCAACUAAAGGCAAAAGGUAAGGCUUUUAGAGCCGCCUUACUUAGAGGACACCUCUUAAGGGUAAGUCCUCACGUAGAUAGGAAGCUUAAUAUUACUGUUCUGUUAUUACUGUGCUGAUAUUGCUGUUUGUCUGCUGCUUUGAUAUGUGUGUGUGCGUGAAAGAGUGAUUGGAGGUUUAAAUACUGCUCUGUAUUUUACCUCAUAUAA